This 534-nucleotide ribosomal RNA is filed under the name uncultured bacterium. RNAcentral describes it as "bacterial SSU rRNA". It matches the Rfam family "Bacterial small subunit ribosomal RNA", at positions 40 to 606 of the family's 1533-position model. The record is from RNAcentral.
CGGCGUGCCUAACACAUGCAAGUCGAACGAGAAAGUGGAGCAAUCCAUGAGUACAGUGGCGACCGGGUGAGUAACACGUGACCAACCUACCCUCGAGUGGGGAAUAACUCCGGGAAACCGGAGCUAAUACCGCAUAACAUCGCAAGAUCAAAGCCGCAAGGCGCUUGAGGAGGGGGUCGCGGCUGAUUAGCUAGUUGGUAGGGUAACGGCCUACCAAGGCGAAGGUCGGUAGCCGGCCUGAGAGGGCGCACGGCCACACUGGAACUGAAACACGGUCCAGACUCCUACGGGAGGCAGCAGUGGGGAAUUUUGCGCAAUGGGGGAAACCCUGACGCAGCAACGCCGCGUGGAGGAUGAAGUCCCUUGGGACGUAAACUCCUUUCGACCGGGACGAUACUGACGGUACCGGAAGAAGAAGCACCGGCUAACUCUGUGCCAGCAGCCGCGGUAAUACAGAGGGUGCGAGCGUUGUUCGGAAUUAUUGGGCGUAAAGGGCGCGUAGGCGGUGCGGUAAGUCACCUGUGAAAUCUCCUG